GUGUCAGCAGCCGCGGUAAUACGGAGGGUGCAAGCGUUAUCCGGAUUUACUGGGUUUAAAGGGUGCGCAGGCGGAUAUGUAAGUCAGUGGUGAAAUCUCCGGGCUUAACCCGGAAACUGCCGUUGAUACUAUAUAUCUUGAAUGCUGUGGAGGUAAGCAGAAUAUGUCAUGUAGCGGUGAAAUGCUUAGAGAUGACAUAGAAUACCUAUUGCGAAGGCAGCUUACUACGCAGAUAUUGACGCUCAUGCACGAAAGCGUGGGGAUCAAACAGGAUUAGAAACCCUUGUAGUCC
RNAcentral lists this ribosomal RNA (292 nucleotides) under uncultured bacterium. RNAcentral's name for it is "partial 16S ribosomal RNA". It matches the Rfam family "Bacterial small subunit ribosomal RNA", at positions 505 to 796 of the family's 1533-position model. The record is from RNAcentral.